GCUUUUUAAGUUACAUAACAUAUUGAAUAAUUGUUUUUUUCUGAGGCUAUUAUGAUGCAAUAUCUAUUUGUUGUGUGCAGCAAAUCGAUCCAAUACAACAACCUAUUGAUGAGUGGCAAAGGCUUGUUCCUCAACUACACACUAGCUGGCUUUCUGGGUGGCAGGGUUGCCAGGUCAGUGGUUUUCCUGCGGAAUUGGGCUACUUUUGAAGUGUUGCCAUGGGUAUUUUUUGUCUGCAAUCAAGUUAACAACUAGCUCGCUAGCAACCCCAGGGAGAAACAUCACGCAGGGAGGAAGAGGGAAAAGGGAAGAGAAAGUGAAAAGCCAAAGUAACAGAUCCUAAGGGUGUUAAUGGGGCUAUUUUUGUUGAAUGAGAGCUUUAUGUGGGUCAGACUGUGUCUUCCUUUGACAACCUCCGGACACUGCUGUUCUGCUGCAGUCUUCAUUAAUGGCCCAAAGAGUGUCAUACUGACCUGAGAUGGAAGGUGUUCAUCGCUGUCAAAACAGCUCAAUCCAUUGUUGUUGUUUUUUUAAACUGCUAUGUCCAUCCCCUCAUAAUAAUAAUAAUAAUAAUGAGCAGUAAUUAAAAAGUGAUGGUUUUGUUGUUUGAAAAAUGCAGUUAUGUUUCUCAACAGGUUCCAAAUACAAGUAUGUUAAUGUGAAUGGCACAAUAUACUGUAGUUGAUCACUCACUGCAAGCUCAGUGAUGUCUUUGUAAAUAAAAAGGGAUACAAGGCAUUAUUAUGUUUUUGGGUACACGGGACAAGUUCAGAAUAAAUCUAUGUAACCUAGGAUGAAAGGCUGUUUUCUUUAGAGUGAGAUUAGCCAUUCAUUUUCUAAACAUUCUUUUAAAGGCAACAGCUAUACAUUUUGGUAUGUAGGAUUUAGUGGCAUCUAGCAGUGAAAUUGCAGUUUGCAACCAUUUGAAUACCGCUCACCUCACCCUCCCAUUUCAAGAGUAUAGGAGAAACUGGUGGCUGCGAAACUCACAAAAAGCUAGAGCCAGUGAUUGGUUUGUCUGUUCUGGGCUACUGUAGAAACAUGGCAGUGCA
Molecule: long non-coding RNA, 1052 nt
Organism: Siniperca chuatsi (mandarin fish)
Lineage: Eukaryota; Metazoa; Chordata; Actinopteri; Centrarchiformes; Sinipercidae
Exons: 3
Source: RefSeq, a predicted model, not a curated record